AUGGGUUCAGACAAGCAGAGUGGUAGCCCACUAUUGGGAACCCUCAAGAUGGAGAGGGUUCGGACGAUCCUGACACAUACGCCAUAUCCUCAUGAACACUCGAGGCAUAUCAUGACGGCAGUGAUAAUUGGGUGCCUCUUUUUCAUCUCGUCCGACAAUAUGCAUACUCUGAUACAUAAACUGGACAGCAAUAUCAAAUGGUGGUCCAUGUAUGUUUGCUUGAUUGGUUUCUUCUACUUCUUUUCAUCUCCCUUCCUUGGAAGAACAAUUCAGCCGAGUUACUCAAAUUUCAACCGAUGGUAUGUCGCUUGGAUUUGCUUUGCAUCCCUGUAUCAUCUCCCUAGCUUCCAAUCAAUGGGCGUUGAUAUGCGCAUGAACCUUUCACUUUUUUUGACUAUAUAUUUCUCUUCUGUCCUCUUCAUCACCGCCUUUCACAUCAUAUUUAUUGGUCUCUGGUACAUUGGACUGGUUGCUCGCAUGGCAGGCACAAGACCAGGAAUAUGGACCAUAGUACAAAACUGUACUGUCAUCAGUAUUGCGUGCUGUGUAUUCUACAGUCAUUGCGGGAAUCUUGCUGUGCCCAAAAGCGAAUCUUUUGACAAGAGUUCUGAUCCAAGUUUGCUUGCUUUUCUUAAAAACGAAAAUGGAACCACAUGGAUAUCAAAUUUUCUCUUUAUGAAUGAACUAAAAGAUCAGAUAUGUUCAUCUUGGUUUGCACCUGUUGGAUCCGCAAGUGACUAUCCUCUUCUGUCAAAGUGGGUUAUAUAUGGGGAGUUAGUUUGCAGUGGAUCCUGUGCUGGCCCAUCAGAUGAAAUAUCUCCUCUGUACUCACUGUGGGCUACAUUCGUUGGCCUUUAUAUUGCCAACUUUGUUGUGGAGAGAUCAACUGGAUGGGCUCUUACUCACUUGUCACCAGUAUCAGAAGAAGAGAAGCUCAGAAAACAUAUGAAACCAGAUUUCUUGGAUAUGGUACCUUGGUACUCAGGGACAUCGGCUGAUUUAUUCAAGACGGCGUUUGAUCUUAUGGUCUCUGUAACUCUUUUUGUUGGGCGAUUUGACAUGCGCAUGAUGCAGGCUGCAAUGAAAAGUACUACAGAUGAAACUCGGAAUGACGAUGUGCUCUAUGACUAUUUUAAUGAAAGAGAAGACCUUUGGUUUGACUUUGUCGCAGACACUGGUGAUGGUGGAAAUUCAUCAUAUACAGUUGCCCGGCUGCUGGCUCAGCCAUCCAUUCAGACUGUAAUUGGUGGUUCUAUGCAUACUCUUCCACGUGGAAAUUUGCUUGUUAUUGGCGGAGAUCUUGCGUAUCCAAACCCUUCGUCCUUUACAUAUGAGAGACGCUUCUUUGGUCCUUUUGAGUAUGCUAUGCAACCUCCGCGUUGGUAUAAGGCUGAACAUAUAGCUGUGGAUAAGCCUGAGGUUCCUCCGGGAGUAUCAAAGAUGAAAAAAUAUGAUGGACCCCAAUGUUUCAUAAUUCCCGGGAACCACGAUUGGUUCGAUGGGCUUAACACCUUCAUGAGAUAUAUAUGUCACAAAAGCUGGUUAGGUGGAUGGUUUCUGCCUCAGAGGAAGAGUUACUUUGCAUUGCAGCUUCCGAAAGGUUGGUGGAUAUUUGGUCUUGAUCUAGCUCUUCAUGGUGACAUUGAUGUAUACCAAUUCAAGUUCUUUGCAGAACUUUGUCGGAAUAAGGUUGGAGAGAACGACUCUGUGAUCAUUGUUACACACGAGCCAAACUGGCUCCUCGAUUGGUAUUGGAAGGAGACUACAGGCAAGAAUGUCUCACAUUUGAUUCAGGACUACCUGAAUGGAAGGUGCAAACUUCGUAUGGCUGGGGAUUUGCAUCAUUUUAUGAGGCAUUCUGCAACACCAUCAGAUAAACCAACUUUUGUUGAACACUUACUUGUCAAUGGAUGUGGUGGUGCCUUUCUGCACCCAACACAUGUUUUCAAAAACUUUGAAAGGUUCUCUGGUACUACCUACGAGUGCAAGGCUGCUUAUCCCUCUUAUGAGGAAUCUAGUGGGAUUGCACUGGGCAAUAUAUUAAAAUUCCGCAAGAAGAAUUGGCAGUUCGACAUAAUUGGUGGUUUUAUUUACUUCAUACUGGUAUUCUCCAUGUUCCCACAGUGUAAUCUUGUUCACAUCUUAAAUGAGGAAACAUGGUCUGGGCGUCUGCAAAGCUUCUCAAGUACAAUAUGGAGUGCUUUGCUUUUUAUUUUUGAACACUCUUAUGUCUCCUCAGUAGGAAGUCUAACUUUGUUGAUGGCAUCAUAUUCAUUUGUACCAUCCAAACUCACAAGGAAAAAAAGAGCUAUUAUCGGUAGCCUGCAUGUUUUGGCCCAUCUGACUGCAGCUCUAGUUUUAAUGUUGCUCAUGGAGUUGGGCAUUGAAAUAUGCAUACGGAAUCAUUUACUGGCAACGUCAGGUUAUCACCCUCUAUAUGAUUGGUAUCGGUCAAUGGAAAGUGAGCAUUUUCCAGAUCCAACUGGUCUUCGUACUCGAUUGGAACAAUGGACGCUUGGACUAUAUCCAGCAUGUAUAAAAUACCUUAUGUCAGCCUUUGACGUCCCAGAGGUCAUGGCUGUUACAAGGAUCAACAUUUGCAAGAACGGCAUGAUGUCGCUUUCUCGGAGUGUUCUGAUCAUGUACUAUACUUCUGUAUUUAUCUAUUUCUGGAUUUUCUCAACUCCAGUUGUUUCCCUCAUAUUUGGUAGUUACCUAUACAUAUGCAUCAACUGGUUCCACAUACACUUUGAUGAAGCCUUCUCGUCUUUGCGCAUCGCAAACUACAAAUCUUUCACAAGGUUCCAUAUUAAGAAGGAUGGUGAUCUAGAAAUAUUUACACUUGCAGUUGACAAGGUCCCAAAGGAUUGGAAAUUGGAUCCCAAGUGGGAGGCAGAGGAAAGAGGGCCUCAUCAGCUCAGCCACCACCGGAGAUACCCUAGCAAAUGGAGGUCAGCCUCAUCUCCAGACCCCGUCAGGUCGGUGCGGGUCGUUGACCAUUUCACCAUCACAAGAACAGUAGCACCAGAUCCCGAGACCUCCUGCUGA
This 3048-nucleotide ribosomal RNA is filed under the name Triticum aestivum (bread wheat). Its description in RNAcentral is "partial small subunit ribosomal RNA". Lineage: Eukaryota; Viridiplantae; Streptophyta; Magnoliopsida; Poales; Poaceae. The record is from RNAcentral.